This 538-nucleotide ribosomal RNA is filed under the name uncultured eukaryote. RNAcentral's name for it is "bacterial SSU rRNA". It matches the Rfam family "Eukaryotic small subunit ribosomal RNA", at positions 22 to 564 of the family's 1831-position model. The record is from RNAcentral.
AGUCAUACGCUUGACUCAAAGAUUAAGCCAUGCAUGUCUCAGUAUACGCUAACUUUAAUGGGAAACUGCAAAUGGCUCAUUAAAUCAUUUAUAUUUUAUUUGAUGUUUCUUGCUACUUGGAUAACUGUGGUACUUCAAAAGCUAAUACUUGCCUAAAAACCCCCUACUUCUGGAAUGGGUGUAUUUAAUACAUAAAAACCAUCCUCCUCGGAUUUUGGUGAUUCAUAAUAACUUCUCUAAUCGAACCGCCUUGUGCUGGCGAUGCUUCAUUCUUAUAUCUGCCCUAUCAACUGUCUAUGGCAGGAUAGAAGCCUACCAUGGUUGCAACGAGUAACGGGGAAUAAUGGUUCUAUUCCUGAGAAGGAGCCUGAUAAACAGCUACCACAUCCUAUGAAGGCAGCAGGCGCGCAAAUUACCCACCUCCCCACGCACGGGAGGUAGUGACGAUAAAUAACAAUGCUAGGCCCUUUUGGGUCUUGGAAUUGGAAUGAAUACAAAUUAAAUCCCUUAACUAAGAACCAUUGGAAGGCAAGUCUGG